GACGAACGCUGGCGGCGUGCUUAACACAUGCAAGUCGAACGGCAACGCCCUGCUUUUGUGGGGUGCUCGAGUGGCGAACGGGUGCGUAACACGUGAGUAACCUGCCCUUGACUUUGGGAUAACUUAAGGAAACUGGGCCUACUCCCGGAUAGGAGCUCCUGCUGCAUUGUGGGCGUUGGAACGUUUCGGCGGUUGGGGCUGGACUCGCGGCUUAUCAGCUAGUUGGUUGGGUAGUGGCGUACCAACGAUUUGACGGGUAGCCGGCCUGGGAGGGGGACCGGCCACAUUGGGACUGAGAGACGGACCAGACGCCUACGGGAGGCAGCAGUGGGGAAUAUGGCACAAUGGGCGGAAGUCUGAGGCAGCGACGCCGGGGGCGGGAUGACGGCCUUCGGGGUAUAAAACGCAGUCGGCUGUUACGAAGCGGGAGUGACGGUAAUGGGUAAAGAAGCACCGGCUAACUACGUG
RNAcentral lists this ribosomal RNA (468 nucleotides) under uncultured bacterium. RNAcentral describes it as "partial 16S ribosomal RNA". It matches the Rfam family "Bacterial small subunit ribosomal RNA", at positions 28 to 507 of the family's 1533-position model. The record is from RNAcentral.